This 468-nucleotide ribosomal RNA is filed under the name uncultured bacterium. RNAcentral's name for it is "partial 16S ribosomal RNA". It matches the Rfam family "Bacterial small subunit ribosomal RNA", at positions 28 to 507 of the family's 1533-position model. The record is from RNAcentral.
GACGAACGCUGGCGGCGUGCUUAACACAUGCAAGUCGAACGGAAAGGCCCUGCUUUUGUGGGGUGCUCGUUUGGCGAACGGGUGAGUAACACGUGAGUAACCUGCCCUUGACUUUGUGAUAACUUCAGGAGACUGGGGCUAAUACCGGAUAGGAGCUCCUGCUGCAUGGGGGGGGUUGGAAAGUUUCGGCGGUUGGGGAUGGACUCGCGGCUUAUCAGCUUGUUGGUGGGGUAGUGGCUUACCAAGGCUUUGACGGGUAGCCGGCCUGAGAGGGUUACCGGCCACAUUGGGACUGAGAGACGGCGCAGACGGCUACGGGAGGCAGCAGUGGGGAAUAUUGCACAAUGGGCGGAAGCCUGAUGCAGCAACGUCGGGUGCGGGAUGACGGCUUUCGGGUUGUAAACCGCUUUCGCCGGUGACGAAGCGUGAGUGACGGUAAUGGGUAAAGAAGCACCGGCUAACUACGUG